GCGCCUAUGAUGUAACGGCAGCCUCUCGCCUUGCCAUGGCGAAUGUGCGGGUUCGAGUCCCGCUGGGCGCU
RNAcentral lists this transfer RNA (71 nucleotides) under Planctomycetales bacterium 10988. It matches the Rfam family "tRNA". From Rfam's summary of the family: Transfer RNA (tRNA) molecules are approximately 80 nucleotides in length. Their secondary structure includes four short double-helical elements and three loops (D, anti-codon, and T loops). Lineage: Bacteria; Pseudomonadati; Planctomycetota; Planctomycetia; Planctomycetales. The record is from Rfam by way of RNAcentral.